This 253-nucleotide ribosomal RNA is filed under the name uncultured bacterium. Its description in RNAcentral is "partial 16S ribosomal RNA". It matches the Rfam family "Bacterial small subunit ribosomal RNA", at positions 524 to 776 of the family's 1533-position model. The record is from RNAcentral.
UACGUAGGCAGCAAGCGUUGUUCGGAAUUACUGGGCGUAAAGCGUGUGUAGGCGGUGUCAUAAGUUUGGUGUGAAAUCUCCCGGCUUAACUGGGAGGGUGCGCCGAAGACUGUGAUGCUUGAGUGUGGGAGAGGUAAGCGGAAUUCCUGGUGUAGCGGUGAAAUGCGUAAAUAUCAGGAGGAACACCUGUGGUGUAGACGGCUUACUGGACCACGACUGACGCUGAGACACGAAAGUGUGGGGAGCAAACAGG